Salmo salar (Atlantic salmon) is the source of this 478-nucleotide long non-coding RNA. RefSeq lists it as uncharacterized. Lineage: Eukaryota; Metazoa; Chordata; Actinopteri; Salmoniformes; Salmonidae. The record is from RefSeq and is a predicted model, not a curated record.
UUGGGAGGACGAAGUUAGGGAAUUCCAGCUUUUGGAAAACUAAACUCCUCCUUGGUCUGAGUGGAAUAUAAGAACAAGCUGCAGACCACAAACCAACACAAAACACAAGGGAGUUCAAACUGCCUGACUGACUAACUAACUAAGGAGCUGAAAGUCUGUCACAUCUGCAAGUAUGAAGCUGCUUCUAGCUGGACUUGUUCUGACCCUCAUUGUAGGAGCUCAAGCUCAGUGGUACCGCUUCCCUGGUGAAGCUGCUCGAGGUGCUAGAGACAUGUGGCGUGCAUACGACGACAUGAAGGACGCCAACUGGAAUUAACAACAAAUAUAUUGCACUUAAUUACUGCUUUUGGUAAAAAUGUCAUAUUCUCAAUAAUUAUUUUGCCCAAAUGUUCUGCUAAUAGACAGGUACAUGGUACUGAAAAUUUGUAUGCAAUCUAUUUCAAAAGUGUUGCAAAAAUAAAGUGAUUACGCAGCUAAA